GCUGCAGUAGUGAUGAGUUCACUUUUUGCCGUUUACCCAUCAGACAACAAAAUGGUGAUAAUGUGACAAACUGAUAUGCCAGC
Molecule: small nucleolar RNA, 83 nt
Filed under: Cyprinodon variegatus (sheepshead minnow)
Lineage: Eukaryota; Metazoa; Chordata; Actinopteri; Cyprinodontiformes; Cyprinodontidae
Description: Small nucleolar RNA SNORD87 (ENSCVAG00000017726.1)
Source: RNAcentral